RNAcentral lists this ribosomal RNA (492 nucleotides) under uncultured bacterium. RNAcentral's name for it is "partial 16S ribosomal RNA". It matches the Rfam family "Bacterial small subunit ribosomal RNA", at positions 29 to 507 of the family's 1533-position model. The record is from RNAcentral.
AUUGAACGCUGGCGGCAUGCUUUACACAUGCAAGUCGAACGGUAACAGGCCUUCGGGUGCUGACGAGUGGCGAACGGGUGAGUGAUGCAUCGGAACGUACCCAGAGGUGGGGGAUAACGCAGCGAAAGCUGUGCUAAUACCGCAUGUGAUCUGAGGAUGAAAGCGGGGGACCGAGCAGCAAUGUUUGGCCUCGCGCCUUUGGAGCGGCCGAUGUCGGAUUAGCUAGUUGGUGGGGUAAAGGCCUACCAAGGCGACGAUCCGUAGCUGGUCUGAGAGGACGACCAGCCACACUGGGACUGAGACACGGCCCAGACUCCUACGGGAGGCAGCAAUGGGGAAUUUUGGACAAUGGGCGCAAGCCUGAUCCAGCAAUGCCGCGUGCGGGAAGAAGGCCUUCGGGUUGUAAACCGCUUUUGGCAGGAACGAAACGGUGUCCGCUAAUACCGGGCGCUAAUGACGGUACCUGCAGAAUAAGCACCGGCUAACUACGUG